GAGUUUGAUCGUGGCUCAGAAUCAACGCUGGCGGCGUGCCUAACACAUGCAAGUCGAACGCGGUUAGUAGCAAUACUAACUGAGUGGCGAACGGGUGAGUAACACGUGGGUGACCUACCUUCGAGUGGGGGAUAACGUCCCGAAAGGGGCGCUAAUACCGCAUGACAUCCUGCCUUUGAACAGGUGGAGAUCAAAGCUGGGGAUCGCAAGACCCGGCGCUUGAUGAGGGGCCCGCGUCCGAUUAGCUAGUUGGUGAGGUAAUGGCUCACCAAGGCGACGAUCGGUAUCCGGCCUGAGAGGGCGGACGGACACACUGGGACUGAGACACGGCCCAGACUCCUACGGGAGGCAGCAGUGGGGAAUUGUUCACAAUGGGCGCAAGCCUGAUGACGCAACGCCGCGUGGAGGAUGAAGGUCUUCGGAUUGUAAACUCCUGUUGCCAGGGACGAACGGCUCCGACCUAAUACGUCGGAGAAUGACGGUACCUGGUGAGGAAGCCCCGGCUAACUCUGUGCCAGCA
This 520-nucleotide ribosomal RNA is filed under the name uncultured Acidobacteriota bacterium. RNAcentral describes it as "bacterial SSU rRNA". It matches the Rfam family "Bacterial small subunit ribosomal RNA", at positions 9 to 513 of the family's 1533-position model. Lineage: Bacteria; Pseudomonadati; Acidobacteriota. The record is from RNAcentral.